This 787-nucleotide ribosomal RNA is filed under the name uncultured bacterium. RNAcentral's name for it is "bacterial SSU rRNA". It matches the Rfam family "Bacterial small subunit ribosomal RNA", at positions 8 to 796 of the family's 1533-position model. The record is from RNAcentral.
AGAGUUUGAUCAUGGCUCAGGAUGAACGCUAGCGGCAGGCUUAACACAUGCAAGUCGAGGGGUAUAGGUUUUCGGACCUAGAGACCGGCGCACGGGUGCGUAACGCGUAUGCAAUCUACCUUUUACAGAGGGAUAGCCCAGAGAAAUUUGGAUUAAUACCUCAUAGUAUUAUUGAAUGGCAUCAUUUAAUAAUUAAAGUCACAACGGUAAAAGAUGAGCAUGCGUCCCAUUAGCUUGUUGGUAAGGUAACGGCUUACCAAGGCAACGAUGGGUAGGGGUCCUGAGAGGGAGAUCCCCCACACUGGUACUGAGACACGGACCAGACUCCUACGGGAGGCAGCAGUGAGGAAUAUUGGUCAAUGGGCGCAAGCCUGAACCAGCCAUGUCGCGUGCAGGAUGACGGUCCUAUGGAUUGUAAACUGCUUUUGUACAGGAAGAAACAUCUCUACGUGUAGAGACUUGACGGUACUGUAAGAAUAAGGAUCGGCUAACUCCGUGCCAGCAGCCGCGGUAAUACGGAGGAUCCAAGCGUUAUCCGGAAUCAUUGGGUUUAAAGGGUCCGUAGGCGGUUUUGUAAGUCAGUGGUGAAAGCCCAUCGCUCAACGGUGGAACGGCCAUUGAUACUGCAAGACUUGAAUUAUUAGGAAGUAACUAGAAUAUGUAGUGUAGCGGUGAAAUGCUUAGAGAUUACAUGGAAUACCAAUUGCGAAGGCAGGUUACUACUAAUGGAUUGACGCUGAUGGACGAAAGCGUGGGGAGCGAACAGGAUUAGAUACCCUAGUAGUCC